RNAcentral lists this ribosomal RNA (741 nucleotides) under uncultured archaeon. RNAcentral describes it as "bacterial SSU rRNA". It matches the Rfam family "Archaeal small subunit ribosomal RNA", at positions 205 to 1243 of the family's 1478-position model. The record is from RNAcentral.
AAGAAUGGUCUUCCGCCCGAUUAAGGUAGUUGCUGGGGUAACGUCCCAACCAAGCGAUAUUCGGUACGGUUUGUGAAGAGCAAGAGCCCGGAAGAUGGAUUCUUGAGACACGAAUCCCAGGUCCUACGGGGCGCAGCAGGCGCGAAAAACUUUACACUGCGCGAAAGCGCGAUAAGGGGACCUCGAGUGCGUGCGCAAUGCGUACGCUUCUCACAUGCCUAAAAAGCAUGUGGAAUAAGAGCCGGGCAAGACCGGUGCCAGCCGCCGCGGUAACACCGGCGGCUCAAGUGGUGGCCGCUAUUAUUGGGCUUAAAGGGUCCGUAGCCGGACCAGUUAGUCCAUUGGGAAAUCUUACGGCUUAACCGUAAGGCUGCCAGUGGAUACUGCUGGUCUUGGGACCGGGAGAGGCAAGAGGUACUUCAGGGGUAGGAGUGAAAUCCUGUAAUCCUUGAGGGACCGCCAGUGGCGAAGGCGUCUUGCUAGAACGGGUCCGACGGUGAGGGACGAAAGCUAGGGGCACGAACCGGAUUAGAUACCCGGGUAGUCCUAGCCGUAAACGAUGCGAGCUAGGUGUCACGUGGAUUGCGAAUCCAUGUGGUGCCGUAGGGAAACCGUGAAGCUCGCCGCCUGGGAAGUACGGCCGCAAGGUUGAAACUUAAAGGAAUUGGCGGGGGAGCACAAGGGCGAAUUCCAGCACACUGGCGGCCGUUACUAGUGGAUCCGAGCUCGGUACCGAGCCUU